AUCGGAAUUACUGGGCGUAAAGCGUGCGUAGGCGGUUAAUUAAGUCAGAUGUGAAAGCCCCGGGCUUAACCUGGGAACGGCAUUUGAUACUGGUUAACUAGAGUUUAGUAGAGGGGAGUGGAAUUUCAGGUGUAGCGGUGAAAUGCGUAGAUAUCUGAAGGAACACCAGUGGCGAAGGCGACUCCCUGGACUAAAACUGACGCUGAGGUACGAAAGCGUGGGUAGCAAACAGGAUUAGAUACCCUGGUAGUCCACGCCGUAAACGAUGUCAACUAGCCGUUGGUCCUAUUUACAGGAUUAGUGGCGCAGCUAACGCAUUAAGUUGACCGCCUGGGGAGUACGGCCGCAAGGUUAAAACUCAAAUGAAUUGACGGGGGCCCGCACAAGCGGUGGAGCAUGUGGUUUAAUUCGAUGCAACGCGAAGAACCUUACCUACCCUUGACAUCCAUAGAAUC
Molecule: ribosomal RNA, 455 nt
Filed under: uncultured Gammaproteobacteria bacterium
Lineage: Bacteria; Pseudomonadati; Pseudomonadota; Gammaproteobacteria
Description: bacterial SSU rRNA
Rfam family: Bacterial small subunit ribosomal RNA
Source: RNAcentral